Molecule: unclassified non-coding RNA, 242 nt
Filed under: fungal sp.
Lineage: Eukaryota; Fungi
Description: partial internal transcribed spacer region
Rfam family: Eukaryotic small subunit ribosomal RNA (bases 1-46)
Source: RNAcentral
AAGUCGUAACAAGGUUUCCGUAGGUGAACCUGCGGAAGGAUCAUUAGCGAGUAAGGCCUUGCCCUCGUGGCUCGGUCAGUCCCACAUAUACACCUUUAAUCUGUGAACCCGUUGUGCUGCGAGGGUGAAAGCUUCGGCGACUACCCCGAGCGGUGCGGCAAUCUAUAUACCCUUUAAAUGAAAUGGAAACGGAAGUAAAUCAUAAAUUAAUACAACUUUCAACAACGGAUCUCUUGGCUCAC